Molecule: ribosomal RNA, 491 nt
Filed under: uncultured bacterium
Lineage: Bacteria
Description: partial 16S ribosomal RNA
Rfam family: Bacterial small subunit ribosomal RNA
Source: RNAcentral
AGUGAACGCUGGCGGUAGGCCUAACACAUGCAAGUCGAACGGCAGCACAGUAAGAGCUUGCUCUUACGGGUGGCGAGUGGCGGACGGGUGAGGAAUACAUCGGAAUCUACUUUUUCGUGGGGGAUAACGUAGGGAAACUUACGCUAAUACCGCAUACGACCUACGGGUGAAAGCAGGGGAUCUUCGGACCUUGCGCGAUUGAAUGAGCCGAUGUCGGAUUAGCUAGUUGGCGGGGUAAAGGCCCACCAAGGCGACGAUCCGUAGCUGGUCUGAGAGGAUGAUCAGCCCCACUGGAACUGAGACACGGUCCAGACUCCUACGGGAGGCAGCAGUGGGGAAUAUUGGCCAAUGGGCGAAAGCCUGAUCCAGCCAUACCGCGUGGGUGAAGAAGGCCUUCGGGUUGUAAAGCCCUUUUGUUGGGAAAGAAAAGCAGCAGGUUAAUACCCCGCUGUUCUGACGGUACCAAAAGAAUAAGCACCGGCUAACUUCGU